This 279-nucleotide ribosomal RNA is filed under the name uncultured Staphylococcus sp. RNAcentral's name for it is "partial 16S ribosomal RNA". It matches the Rfam family "Bacterial small subunit ribosomal RNA", at positions 83 to 354 of the family's 1533-position model. The record is from RNAcentral. Lineage: Bacteria; Bacillati; Bacillota; Bacilli; Caryophanales; Staphylococcaceae.
CCUUUGACGUUAGCGGCGGACGGGUGAGUAACACGUGGGUAACCUACCUAUAAGACUGGGAUAACUUCGGGAAACCGGAGCUAAUACCGGAUAAUAUUUCGAACCGCAUGGUUCGAUAGUGAAAGANGGUUUUGCUAUCACUUAUAGAUGGACCUGCGCCGUAUUAUCUAGUUGGUAAGGUAACGGCUUACCAAGGCGACGAUACGUAGCCGACCUGAGAGGGUGAUCGGCCACACUGGAACUGAGACACGGUCCAGACUCCUACGGGAGGCAGCAGGG